This 253-nucleotide ribosomal RNA is filed under the name uncultured bacterium. Its description in RNAcentral is "partial 16S ribosomal RNA". It matches the Rfam family "Bacterial small subunit ribosomal RNA", at positions 524 to 776 of the family's 1533-position model. The record is from RNAcentral.
UACGGAGGAUGCAAGCGUUAUCCGGAAUGAUUGGGCGUAAAGCGUCCGCAGGUGGCAAUGUAAGUCUGCUGUUAAAGAGUCUAGCUCAACUAGAUAAAAGCAGUGGAAACUACAUAGCUAGAGUACGUUCGGGGCAGAGGGAAUUCCUGGUGUAGCGGUGAAAUGCGUAGAGAUCAGGAAGAACACCAGUGGCGAAGGCGCUCUGCUAGGCCGUAACUGACACUGAGGGGCGAAAGCUAGGGGAGCGAAUGGG